GCCCUGGUGGUCUAGUUGUUAAGAUUCGGCACUCUCACUGCCAUGGCCUGGGUUCAUUUCCUGGCCAGUGAA
Molecule: transfer RNA, 72 nt
Filed under: Equus asinus (donkey)
Lineage: Eukaryota; Metazoa; Chordata; Mammalia; Perissodactyla; Equidae
Also listed under: 1 other name
Rfam family: tRNA
About the family: Transfer RNA (tRNA) molecules are approximately 80 nucleotides in length. Their secondary structure includes four short double-helical elements and three loops (D, anti-codon, and T loops). Further hydrogen bonds mediate the characteristic L-shaped molecular structure. tRNAs have two regions of fundamental functional importance: the anti-codon, which is responsible for specific mRNA codon recognition, and the 3' end, to which the tRNAs corresponding amino acid is attached (by aminoacyl-tRNA synthetases). tRNAs cope with the degeneracy of the genetic code in two manners: having more than one tRNA (with a specific anti-codon) for a particular amino acid; and 'wobble' base-pairing, i.e. permitting non-standard base-pairing at the 3rd anti-codon position.
Source: Rfam by way of RNAcentral